CUACGGGAGGUUGCAGUGAGGAAUAUUGCACAAUGGGGGGAACCCUGAUGCAGCAACGCCGCGUGGAGGAUGACGCAUUUCGGUGUGUAAACUCCUUUUAUAUGUCAAGAAAAUGACGGUAGCAUAUGAAUAAGCACCGGCUAACUCCGUGCCAGCAGCCGCGGUAAUACGGAGGGUGCAAGCGUUACUCGGAAUCACUGGGCGUAAAGGACGCGUAGGCGGGUUGGAAAGUCAGGUGUGAAAUCCUACAGCUUAACUGUAGAACUGCACUUGAAACUUCUAAUCUAGAGUAUGGGAGGGGGAGAUGGAAUUAGUGGUGUAGGGGUAAAAUCCGUAGAUGUCACUAGGAAUACCUAAAGCGAAGGCGAUCUCCUGGAACAUUACUGACGCUAAGGCGUGAAAGCGUGGGGAGCAAACAGGAUUAGAUACCCGAGUAGUC
RNAcentral lists this ribosomal RNA (439 nucleotides) under uncultured bacterium. Its description in RNAcentral is "partial 16S ribosomal RNA". It matches the Rfam family "Bacterial small subunit ribosomal RNA", at positions 339 to 795 of the family's 1533-position model. The record is from RNAcentral.